Molecule: unclassified non-coding RNA, 1041 nt
Filed under: Hevea brasiliensis (rubber tree)
Lineage: Eukaryota; Viridiplantae; Streptophyta; Magnoliopsida; Malpighiales; Euphorbiaceae
Source: RNAcentral
CUUCAUGUACAGUUUAUCUGUUUUGCCAGGGGAAUGACUGAGUGAAAGGAGACUACCAAAUUGAGACUUCCCAGCGUCAUAUGCUUCUCGAACCAUUUGAUAGCUUACGAACCCAGAGAAAAGAGUGAGCUUAGAAUUCUUCAUCUUCCCAGAAUUAGUAUCAACUUCUAGAGGGGAAUUAGUACUGGAAGUGUUAUCAGGUGACUCAUUUUCACUAGGAAAUGCCGCACCAUCAUGUGCAUUGAGAAGUACACAAUAGCAAUGAUCUGUUUCUGUCAAGACCACUGCAUCAAAAGUUGAGUCAAAAUCAUCCACUGCAAAACAGAUGUCUGGAUAGGCAGGAGUUGUCUCCACUUCCUUUUUUGAGUCCAAAUGAAAAUCUACACGACUUGGUGAUGCAUAAACAGUCUUUACUACCUUGUAUGGAGAUAAUGGUGUAUCUUGCCCAGCUUGAUGAUUGCGAAGGACGUGAUGACUGCAAAUUGCUACUGUUACUGUGAACGAAGUGUGUGCAAUUAAAUUCAAGUAAAAUGAGCGCCUCCAAUCUACCUCUGAAUUUUCACUGACCAAAUUAUCCAACUUAGCUGCCCACCUGCGCACAAAGUAAGGAGGGAGGCCCUGCACAUUAUCAUUGAAACCAUAUCCUUCUGUGCCCAUUUUUCUGACGAAAAAUACGAGAUCAUCAUCCUGCCGUCCUCUUGACUCCUUACCACGGAUAAAGUACAAAUCUAACAUAUCAUACCAAAAUCGGCCAUCCAUUUCAACAUCUGAAGGAUCUCGUUCAUGGACGGUACCUUUACCCAGCAAGGUGGAGUGCUUCUUCACCAUACUCAACAAUUCAUGCCUGGAAGGGAUCUCUUCUUUAUGACCUAGCAUUUCGGUUUGCCAAAUUUGAACGAGAAAACACUCAACCAAAGCUUCUGAUAAUCUUGAUGUCAGUUCGAGGUUAAUGCGUCGACAAAUAACACAAGGAAAUUAAGUUUCUCAAUAUAUAUAUAUAAAACGUUUCGAUGAAAAAACCGGCGCGAGCGUUUGUUGAUC